RNAcentral lists this long non-coding RNA (504 nucleotides) under Homo sapiens (human). RNAcentral describes it as "HSALNT0044908". Lineage: Eukaryota; Metazoa; Chordata; Mammalia; Primates; Hominidae. The record is from RNAcentral.
CAGGAGAAUCGCUUGAGCCUGGGAAGUGGAGGUUGCAGUGACCCGAGAUUGCACCACUGCACUCCAGCCUGGGUGACAGAGUGAGACUCCAUCUUAAAAACAAAAACAAAAACAAAAACAAAAAACUUAGUGAAGCUAUCAGGUAUUGGAGAGCAUGGAAAUGCUAUAAACCAAUACAUUCUAUAUUUUAUUGAUACAGCAUUUUUUCAAUGUUUUGUCUACAGACAGAUCCCAGGGGAUUAACAUAUAUUUAAAUUACCUAACUUUCCAGUUGGACAUAAACAAUCUUAUCCUUCUCUUUCAUUGUCCUUUAUAUCUUCUGUGGGGUCUCCUGGGCUUGUGUAACUUGUCAUAAUGGACAGGAUGUGAGGGAUGCUACCACAGACAGACACCAUAUUGUAAAUCUGAAGAAUGGACAGAGGAAAACUUGCAACAGAAUUAGAGGAAAGAAGAAAUGAUGUGACAGAGUAAGACUCAAUCCAACAAACAAACAAAAAACAACAA